UGAGGAAUAUUGGUCAAUGGACGAGAGUCUGAACCAGCCAAGUAGCGUGAAGGAUGAAGGUUCUAUGGAUUGUAAACUUCUUUUAUACGGGAAUAAACGAAUCCACGCGUGGAUUUUUGCAUGUACCGUAUGAAUAAGGAUCGGCUAACUCCGUGCCAGCAGCCGCGGUAAUACGGAGGAUCCGAGCGUUAUCCGGAUUUAUUGGGUUUAAAGGGAGCGUAGAUGGGUUGUUAAGUCAGUUGUGAAAGUUUGCGGCUCAACCGUAAAAUUGCAAUUGAUACUGGCAGUCUUGAGUACAGUUGAGGUAGGCGGAAUUCGUGGUGUAGCGGUGAAAUGCUUAGAUAUCACGAAGAACUCCGAUUGCGAAGGCAGCUUACUAACCUGUAACUGACAUUGAUGCUCGAAAGUGUGGGUAUCAAACA
This 422-nucleotide ribosomal RNA is filed under the name uncultured Bacteroides sp. Its description in RNAcentral is "bacterial SSU rRNA". It matches the Rfam family "Bacterial small subunit ribosomal RNA", at positions 355 to 774 of the family's 1533-position model. Lineage: Bacteria; Pseudomonadati; Bacteroidota; Bacteroidia; Bacteroidales; Bacteroidaceae. The record is from RNAcentral.